CCUACGGGUGGCUGCCGUCGAGAAUCAUUCACAAUGGGGGAAACCCUGAUGGUGCGACGCCGCGUGGGGGAAUGAAGGUCUUCGGAUUGUAAACCCCUGUCAUGUGGGAGCAAAUUAAAAAGAUAGUACCACAAGAGGAAGAGACGGCUAACUCUGUGCCAGCAGCCGCGGUAAUACAGAGGUCUCACGCGUUGUUAGGAAUCAUUGGGCGUAAAGGGUGCGUAGGCUGGUUCGUAAGUCGUGUGGGAAAGGGGCGGGCUCAACCCGCGGACGGCCCUUGAUACUGCGAGACUAGAGUAAUGACGGGGGAACCGGAAUUCUCGGAGUAGCAGUGAAAUGCGUAGAUAU
This 348-nucleotide ribosomal RNA is filed under the name uncultured bacterium. RNAcentral describes it as "partial 16S ribosomal RNA". It matches the Rfam family "Bacterial small subunit ribosomal RNA", at positions 338 to 697 of the family's 1533-position model. The record is from RNAcentral.